RNAcentral lists this ribosomal RNA (309 nucleotides) under uncultured bacterium. Its description in RNAcentral is "partial 16S ribosomal RNA". The record is from RNAcentral.
ACUAUUGUCACGGGUUACCGCGGCUGCUGGCACGGAGUUAGCCGGUGCUUCUUCUGCGAGUAACGUCACAGAUGUAAGGUAUUAACUUACACCUUUCCUCCUCGCUGAAAGUGCUUUACAACCCGAACGGCCUUCUUCACACACGCGGCAUGGCUGCAUCAGGGUUUCCCCCAUUGUGCAAUAUUCCCCACUGCUGCCUCCCGUAGGAGUCUGGGCCGUGUCUCAGUCCCAGUGUGGCUGAUCAUCCUCUCAGACCAGCUAGGGAUCGUCGCCUAGGGUGAGCCUUUACCUCACCUACUAGCUAAUCCC